UGUGCAUAACACGGCUCUUUCCUACUACAGAAGGCCGUCCUCAAGAAAACAGCAGCACGUGUUGGUGCAUAUGCGGAGACAGUGCACAGAGAGACGCAGGCAGAUGGUGCUCAGUGAUGGCUCCAGUGUACUUGCCACAAUGUAUGACCUUGAUGGAGUGGGAAUGGGGCGCGCCAUGCACUAUCCCGCAGCCGCCUGCAGUUACUUACAGCUGGACUCCCGGGGCUUGAACGAUCAGAAGGUGUAGUUCCAAGCAACUCUCUGUGACAAACUUGGCUGACAGCAAAGGAAUGGAACGACGGCUAUUUCUCCGAGAGCGAGAAGUCAUUGAGUCCAUCCCUCUUGUUGCUGGUGGGUCUCUCCACUAUCCCUACCCAUAAAUGCUCGCUUCAAUGCUUGAAAAGCUCUGCUGUCUGGAAGGUGUUCAAGGGCAAUGACAGCUGGAGCUGGCGCUUCUGCUUUCAAAUCUUGCACAGCCACCUGCUACUUGGUGGCCCUUGGGGUUUUGUGAGGAGGGAGGAGACCGUGCUACUUCCCAGCCUGCUGGACCACCCCGGGAUCACUGUUACUAUUGUUAGAGAACUCACCGUCAGCGGAGCACCAUCGCUGUAGACAAGGACCUGAAAGAACUAGCUGGGUCUGGUGGUGCAGGCCUGUAAUCCCAGCUCCUUGGGAGGCUGAUGAGGGGAAAUACAAAGUGCAGGGCCUGCUUGGGCUACAGAGUGAGUUCAAGCCUGCUCUUGGCAAAUUAGCAAGACCCGUCUCAAAUGGAAAGUGCCAAGAGGGGUAGGGGCUGGUCAGUGAGGAAGAGCACUUGCCAUGCAAGCUUGAUGGUGAGGGUUUUGAUUCUCAAACCCAUACAAAACCUGGAUGCAACGGCUUUCAAUCUAGCACUCCUAUGACAAGGUGGCAGGCAGAGGCAGGAGAAUCUCCUGGAAAUCCAUGGACCAGCAAGGUAUAGUACAUUGGCACAGUGGCAAACACAAGGGACAAUGCUUCAAAACAAGGUAGUUUUGGUGAAGAUAUGAAUUAAUACAGUCAUUAUGAAAAUCAAUUUGCAGAUUCCUCCCCCCCCCCCCAAGAUUUAAAAAUAGAACUUCUGGCUCUUUUACUUCUGGGCAUGUAACCAGAGAAUUUCACAUUCUACCUGAAAGGUAUUUAAUCCUCAUGGGUACUUUACUGCUGCUUUAUUUACUACAGCGAGGAAUUGGAGCCAACCUGUUUGUCUCAGUAGGGGAAGCUAUGAUGAAAUCUGGCACUGACAUGAAAUGGAAUACUAUUCAGCUUUGAAGAAAACUUAAAUCACCAAAUUUGCAAGAAGGUAGAUUUGCAAAAGAUAAUAUUGAGCAAGGUCACACAAUCUCAGAAAGAAAAAAAAAUACCCAUGUUCUCCCUCAUUUGGGGAUCUUAAUCUACUCUAUAUGUGUAAGUAUGUAUAUGCAUGUAAACAAUAUACAUAUGAUUACUGUAGAACACAUAGAAAAGAGAACAAGAAAGGCUGAAUAUUAGGUGAUGAGGAAAGAAGGAAUGCAGGUAAAGGACACUUGAGUCAUGAAGAAGGAGAUGAAAUGGUUUUUCUAGUUUUAACUCUGUUAUUGAGCUACCCUCCCCCCACUUUUUGAUACAUGGUGAAAUAAGUGCAUAAAAAUAUAGUU
This is a long non-coding RNA of Meriones unguiculatus (Mongolian gerbil), 1655 nucleotides long. RefSeq lists it as uncharacterized. The record is from RefSeq and is a predicted model, not a curated record. The transcript is spliced from 3 exons. NCBI's taxonomy places the organism in Eukaryota, Metazoa, Chordata, Mammalia, Rodentia, Muridae.